UUAUCAUGUGAUGUAAAAUUGGACCCCCGCCCAGAAUAUCAUCGGUGCAUACUGACUUGGCAUCACCAAGAACCACUACCUUGGGCACAGAGUACAGGGAAUCAGAUGAGUAGUCGUCUGAUGAGUAUGCGCAGUGCCAAUGGACUGUUGAUGCUACCUCCAAAGACAGAGCAGUAUGUGGAGCUUCACAAGGGGGAGGUGGUGGAUGUCAUGGUCAUUGGACGGCUAUGAUGUCACCAGCAAGAGCGAAGCUUUGAUGCAUGUCCACAUAUCAUUGACUGUAUCCUGUAAUAUGCAACGGCACAGCUAGUUUUUCUGAUUUGGAUAAAAGUUGAUCAGUAUAGUCAACAUCUUGAAUUAUAUUUCAAAUGGAAUUUAAAUAAAUACCUUUUAAAAAAAACUUUAAAAGAAAUCUUAACAAAGAAAUUUAUUCUGAUUAUAUCAAAGCAACUUUUUCCUUUCCUUGCAAUUGCUUUGUGUGUUCAAUGCUAGUUCUAAUAGCGGUAGCUUUUAGUAGACAGCAGUAGGUGCCUGCAGAACUUGUGUUUUUUCUCAUCUUUAAGAUACAACUACUUAUGCUCUUAAAACAAGGCUGUCUGCUUAUUUAUACUAGCGUAGACAACACUUGGAUUUCCCUUAUUAGUAUGCUUCAUAACCGCUUCACAGAGAGCUUCUGCUUGUUCUUUAUCUUGUAUCUCGUGUUGAUGUGCACAGUGCCAAAAGCAGAGUGGCUGCUCUGGGAACCCAAUGAAGCCCCGAGGUUUUCUCACCUCGCUGCGCAUUCAGGGAUCUCUCUUGUCCCGGCAGCCACCCAGCUCAGUACUCUUGGGCAGUAACUGGAUACCUUUUAUUUCAACAAACAAAAAAAUUGCUUCCUUAAGUGCUGACAGCCUUUUUAACCAAUACAUUUAAAAAUGUACAGAACUAAAAACUAAAAAAAAUCAAAGACUGAUCUUGUACAGAUAUUAGUGUUACCAGCAUUCGUGUGGAAAUUAAAUGAGCAAAGAAAUAAAACUAAUGUUAAACAACUCUGUACCAUAACAUUUUCUGUAAUGAUAUUGAAACUUAAAUGAAUAAAAAAAAUCCUCAAUCAUUAUUUAAAA
Antrostomus carolinensis (chuck-will's-widow) is the source of this 1103-nucleotide long non-coding RNA. RefSeq lists it as uncharacterized. Lineage: Eukaryota; Metazoa; Chordata; Aves; Caprimulgiformes; Caprimulgidae. The record is from RefSeq and is a predicted model, not a curated record. The transcript is spliced from 2 exons.